This 661-nucleotide small RNA is filed under the name Pan troglodytes (chimpanzee). RNAcentral's name for it is "retained intron". The record is from RNAcentral. Lineage: Eukaryota; Metazoa; Chordata; Mammalia; Primates; Hominidae.
CCACUGCAGAGCAGCUCAAAAACGUAACCAGAGCCACCCAUCACACCUUCCCGGCAGGACUUUGAGACCAACGAUGAGCUCAAAUGCAAGGUGAUCGGCUUCCUGGAAGAAGUCAUGCACGACCCGGAGCUCCUGACCCAGGAGCGGAAGGCUGCAGCCAACAUCAUCAGGACUCUGACCCAGGAGGACCCAGGUGACAACCAGAUCACGCUGGAGGAGAUCACGCAGAUGGCUGAAGGCGUGAAGGCUGAGCCCUUUGAAAACCACUCAGCCCUGGAGAUCGCGGAGCAGCUGACCCUGCUAGAUCACCUCGUCUUCAAGAAGAUUCCUUAUGAGGAGUUCUUCGGACAAGGAUGGAUGAAACUGGAAAAGAAUGAAAGGACCCCUUAUAUCAUGAAAACCACUAAGCACUUCAAUGACAUCAGUAACUUGAUUGCUUCAGAAAUCAUCCGCAACGAGGACAUCAACGCCAGGGUGAGCGCCAUCGAGAAGUGGGUGGCCGUAGCUGACAUAUGCCGCUGCCUCCACAACUACAAUGCCGUACUGGAGAUCACCUCGUCCAUGAACCGCAGUGCAAUCUUCCGGCUCAAAAAGACGUGGCUCAAAGUCUCUAAGCAGACUAAAGCUUUGAUUGAUAAGCUCCAAAAGCUUGUGUCAUCUG